Molecule: ribosomal RNA, 497 nt
Filed under: uncultured bacterium
Lineage: Bacteria
Description: partial 16S ribosomal RNA
Rfam family: Bacterial small subunit ribosomal RNA
Source: RNAcentral
GAUGAACGCUGGCGGCGUGCCUAAUACAUGCAAGUCGAGCGAACAGACGAGGAGCUUGCUCCUCUGACGUUAGCGGCGGACGGGUGAGUAACACGUGGAUAACCUACCUAUAAGACUGGGAUAACUUCGGGAAACCGGAGCUAAUACCGGAUAAUAUAUUGAACCGCAUGGUUCAAUAGUGAAAGACGGUUUUGCUGUCACUUAUAGAUGGAUCCGCGCCGCAUUAGCUAGUUGGUAAGGUAACGGCUUACCAAGGCGACGAUGCGUAGCCGACCUGAGAGGGUGAUCGGCCACACUGGAACUGAGACACGGUCCAGACUCCUACGGGAGGCAGCAGUAGGGAAUCUUCCGCAAUGGGCGAAAGCCUGACGGAGCAACGCCGCGGGAGUGAUGAAGGUCUUCUGAUCGUAAAGCUCUGUUAUUAGGGGAGAACAAAUGUGUAAGUAACUAUGCACGUCUUGACGGUACCUAGUCAAAAAGCCACGGCUAACUACGUG